RNAcentral lists this transfer RNA (56 nucleotides) under Culex quinquefasciatus (southern house mosquito). It matches the Rfam family "tRNA", at positions 9 to 63 of the family's 71-position model. Rfam says of the family: Transfer RNA (tRNA) molecules are approximately 80 nucleotides in length. Their secondary structure includes four short double-helical elements and three loops (D, anti-codon, and T loops). Further hydrogen bonds mediate the characteristic L-shaped molecular structure. tRNAs have two regions of fundamental functional importance: the anti-codon, which is responsible for specific mRNA codon recognition, and the 3' end, to which the tRNAs corresponding amino acid is attached (by aminoacyl-tRNA synthetases). tRNAs cope with the degeneracy of the genetic code in two manners: having more than one tRNA (with a specific anti-codon) for a particular amino acid; and 'wobble' base-pairing, i.e. permitting non-standard base-pairing at the 3rd anti-codon position. The record is from Rfam by way of RNAcentral. Lineage: Eukaryota; Metazoa; Arthropoda; Insecta; Diptera; Culicidae.
AGGCAAUGUUGAAGCUGUCCGCUUAGUAAGCGGAAGACCAUGGGUUCGAUUCCCAU